Fukomys damarensis (Damara mole-rat) is the source of this 1394-nucleotide long non-coding RNA. RefSeq lists it as uncharacterized. Lineage: Eukaryota; Metazoa; Chordata; Mammalia; Rodentia; Bathyergidae. The record is from RefSeq and is a predicted model, not a curated record. The transcript has 8 exons.
UUUCCUCUAUGCUCUCCUGCCUCAGUUAAGGGAUGCUCCCUUCUGAAAACUGCAAAGAUGUGAAUGCUUGAGAGUACUCACAAAGAAGAUUGGCUUCUUGCUCAUUCUGUUAAUUCUGUAGUUUCUGGUCAUGCUCAGCCUCCAGCUCCAACCUACGCCAUUUUUUAGGGUCCACAUUCUGAAGGAAAUCAGUUGGAAGAUUUUCAGAGAAAAUAUCUGCAUUACCCCAUCUAUCCAAGUUUUCUCAUUGGUAAAAUGCUGAGACAAACAAGUGCACACUCACCUUUUAAUGCAGUGGUAUAGAUUGUCUUUUGCUACCGUGCAGACCCAAGCUGGAGCUGCCUGUGUGGACGUGCUGCCUCUGGAGGAAGUUAGAAAAAAUGCACUUUUGGCCACAUGAAGGAACCACCAGGACUGCUACAGUUCUCAAGAAACUCUGGAAAAUCACACUCCAAACUUGAUGCUUGCCAAGAUACUUGAAAACCACCAUGAACUUUAUGUCUGCUGUGGCCACCAUGACUUUCUGAAGAAAACCUUGAAGCGGAGUAGCUGAGUCAAAAAGCGGAUAAAACUGGUUAUUGUCCUGCACUUUCCACUGUGAACCCGAGGUCUUUGGGUUUGGGAGCGGCCUGGCUGUGUGCUUCGCCCAGUUCCUCAGUACAGCCCUGGGCCCUUGGCAAGGAGGCUGGGCGGCCCCUCGUCUUGCUCUCACUCCUGAGCUCAGCUACCAACCACUGCAACUCAUGAGCAUGAGAAUUCUUAAAACUCUCUACCAAAAUGGCAGCAUAUGGUCCUGGAGAAGAAAAUGUCUUCUUCCUCCUUUCUAGUACUACAAAUGGAACCAAGCCACCUGCUAGGGAUUGCUAGAUACCCCCUGGACCCCAGAUACUAUAAACAGAAGUUGGAGCUGACACAAAUGUGCCACAGGGAAGAUUGUAUUCCUGUUUCCAGCACAGCUGUGGGUUGCUGUGCCAGGCUAUACCACAACAGCAAGUGAUACACCUGAUGGUAGGAGACAUGAUGAGGUGUUCAGCUGAAUCUGUGCCAGGAAGUCAUGGGGUCCCUGGACAGGUGCCCUGCCAGCAAGUGGGCCGUUCCUGACAGCAUGACCAACUAGCACCUCAGUGGGCACCUACUGCAAUAUCCAGGGUGUGGUUACUCAGGCUGGCCCAUUUGGGCCAGCGGAUCUUCACAGAUACCGAAGAAUGAGCGGUCUCUUGAAUUAUGACCACAUCCAAGCAUUCUUCACAAGAGUCAAGAAAUGGAACCACCAAAGUGUCCACUGACCAACAGACAGAUAAAGAAACACUGGUGUAUGUAUGCAGUAGAAUAUUAUUCAGGCUUAAGAAAGGAGAUCCUGCCAGGUAAAUGGUAUAUACCUGUAAUCCCAGCGA